RNAcentral lists this ribosomal RNA (589 nucleotides) under uncultured bacterium. Its description in RNAcentral is "bacterial SSU rRNA". It matches the Rfam family "Bacterial small subunit ribosomal RNA", at positions 56 to 639 of the family's 1533-position model. The record is from RNAcentral.
UGCAAGUCGAACGGCAGCACGGGAGCAAUCCUGGUGGCGAGUGGCGAACGGGUGAGUAAUAUAUCGGAACGUGCCCAGUCGUGGGGGAUAACGCAGCGAAAGCUGUGCUAAUACCGCAUACGAUCUACGGAUGAAAGCGGGGGAUCGCAAGACCUCGCGCGAUUGGAGCGGCCGAUAUCAGAUUAGCUAGUUGGUGGGGUAAAAGCCCACCAAGGCGACGAUCUGUAGCUGGUCUGAGAGGACGACCAGCCACACUGGAACUGAGACACGGUCCAGACUCCUACGGGAGGCAGCAGUGGGGAAUUUUGGACAAUGGGCGCAAGCCUGAUCCAGCAAUGCCGCGUGCAGGAUGAAGGCCUUCGGGUUGUAAACUGCUUUUGUACGGAACGAAACGGUCUGCCCUAAUACGGUGGGCUAAUGACGGUACCGUAAGAAUAAGCACCGGCUAACUACGUGCCAGCAGCCGCGGUAAUACGUAGGGUGCGAGCGUUAAUCGGAAUUACUGGGCGUAAAGCGUGCGCAGGCGGUUAUAUAAGACAGAUGUGAAAUCCCCGGGCUCAACCUGGGACCUGCAUUUUGUGACUGUAUA